UAGGCUCUCCAACCCAUUGUGAACUUACCAAACGUUCCCUCGGCGGGCUCAGCGCGCGGUGGCCUCCGGGCCUCCGGGCGUCCGCCGGGGAAAACCAAACCCUGAUUUAAUCGUAUUUCUCUGAGGGGCGAAAGCCCGAAAACAAAAUGAAUCAAAACUUUCAACAACGGAUCUCUUGGCUCUGGCAUCGAUGAAGAACGCAGCGAAAUGCGAUAAGUAAUGUGAAUUGCAGAAUUCAGUGAAUCAUCGAAUCUUUGAACGCACAUUGCGCCCGCCGGCACUCCGGCGGGCAUGCCUGUCCGAGCGUCAUUUCAACCCUCAGGCCCACCCUUCCGGGGGAGCGGGCCUGGUGCUGGGGAUCGGCGGCCCUCGCGGCCCCCGUCCCUCAAAUUCAGUGGCGGUCGCGCCGCAGCCUCCCCUGCGUAGUAGCACAACCUCGCACCGGAGAGCGGAACGACCACGCCGUGAAACCCCCAAUUUUUUAAGGUUGACCUCGGAUCAGGUAGGAAUACCCGCUGAACUUAAGCA
RNAcentral lists this ribosomal RNA (528 nucleotides) under Sarocladium sp. RNAcentral's name for it is "eukaryotic LSU rRNA". The stretch from base 156 to 309 matches the Rfam family "5.8S ribosomal RNA". The record is from RNAcentral. Lineage: Eukaryota; Fungi; Ascomycota; Sordariomycetes; Hypocreales; Sarocladiaceae.